UGGGGAAUUUUCCGCAAUGGGCGAAAGCCUGACGGAGCAAUGCCGCGUGAGGGAUGAAGGCCUGUGGGUUGUAAACCUCUUUUCUCAAGGAAGAAAUCUUGACGGUACUUGAGGAAUAAGCAUCGGCUAACUCUGUGCCAGCAGCCGCGGUAAUACAGAGGAUGCAAGCGUUAUCCGGAAUCACUGGGCAUAAAGCGUCUGUAGGUGGCUUAUCAAGUCUGCUGUUAAAGACUAGGGCUUAACCCUAGGAAAGCAGUGGAAACUAGUAAGCUUGAGUGUGGUAGAGGUAGAGGGAAUUCCUGGUGUAGCGGUGAAAUGCGUAGAUAUUAGGAAGAACACCAAUGGCGAAAGCACUCUACUGGGCCAUAACUGACACUAAGAGACGACAGCUAGGGGAGCAAAUGGG
This 406-nucleotide ribosomal RNA is filed under the name uncultured bacterium. Its description in RNAcentral is "bacterial SSU rRNA". It matches the Rfam family "Bacterial small subunit ribosomal RNA", at positions 355 to 776 of the family's 1533-position model. The record is from RNAcentral.